Non-coding RNA from Peromyscus maniculatus bairdii (prairie deer mouse), 2848 nucleotides. Lineage: Eukaryota; Metazoa; Chordata; Mammalia; Rodentia; Cricetidae. The record is from RefSeq and is a predicted model, not a curated record.
CUUGCCCCAAAUGAAAGCCUCCCUCCCUCUCCACACUUUCUCUCCGUUCUCCCAGCCCACACUCUCCAUUUCCAAUUUAUCAGCUAGUAAAUUCUGACUUGAACUUGGAGCCAGCGUUUCAUUUGUUUUUGGCAAAAGAUCAAAUUCUUCCAAGAAAAGAAACGAAAAAAGGAGGGGUGUGGAGGGAGGCUCAAGAAGAAAAAAAAAAGCCUACUUAAACAAAAAGAGGCUCCCGGAGACAACUCCAUAGCGCCGAGGUGCUCAGUGAAGAAAGAAUACAUCUUUGGAUGUACUAAAGUAGUUAAAGAAAUGCAGCACAUCUUUGCAGAGUUGAACAAAUAUUACACAACAUGACAUCAUGAGAGGAAAGGAGAUGCCACAGGUGAAAGACUGGCUUCACUGCCCUGGAGGUGACUGAUUGAAGGAGCCAUGGAGAAGAGCUGAGACUUGGCAUCAUAUGGUUGGAGUCCCUGAAAAAAGGCUUGGAGACCAUUGUUGAAGUGGUGUCAUGGGAAUCACAGUUCAUAUUCAUGAGUCAGAGUCCUAGGAGGAAACAAAUUGCAUACUCAAAUGGAGUGAUUUGAAGAGCAUUGAAGGCAUAGGACUGUUUGCAAAGGUUUAGUGAAGGAAACCAGCAGGAGAGCAGGAGGUACAUACUCCUCCUCAGCUCUCCCUCCCCAUCUCUUCUGCUGUCCUGGGGUUGACUCCAGUGGAGAGUAAGAAGCAAGGAAGCAAGAGCACUGUGGUUGCUUUCCACGAAGUACAAUGUGGACUUGGGUUGGGUAGGCAAAUGGAAAGAAUCUAAGGAAUCCUGCAGAAUCCUUUUGCAGCCUUUGUGAGAAUUAGAUGAACACUUCAGUCAAACACGAUUAGCAGAAUGAGCACCCAGAACACAGGGCUAGUGUUGUUAUCCAUAUCUUGUACAUUUCUUUAUUGAUUGGCAACUAAAACCUUUGAGUCAAUGUAGUUGACUACAGCAGAUAAGGUUACUGUGGUAUAUAACACCAACUAAAGGAAGACAAAAGCCGCUAGUGAAAGGUGUGUGGGCCUUUUGGAGAGAGAGAGAGGGAGAGAGAGAGAGAGAGAGAGAGAGAGAGAGAGAGAGAGAGAUGCACCAGCUUCUCUUUGAGGAAACAGUUCUUCAAUGCAGAGAUGCCACCAUUCUUUUCAACUGAAGUCACUGCCCCAUCACUCUCUUCAAGCUUUUCCGUCCAAAAGACCAGACAAUUGUAGUGUUCUCUGAACUGGGAACCAAGCCCCACCACCCAGAAAGGAGCUUGUAUUACUAUGGGCCCCAUUAGGAAUGAGGUGCCAUCUGAACCAAUGGCAUCAUUGUACUCAUCAAAGAGACUUUGGAGGACUAAGGACCAUCCCUGGGCAGCAGCUUACCUUGGAUAACUGAAAACACAUAUCUUUACCUUCAACAGCCUGGCGUGGUUUUCUGGGUGGUUGUCAAGGAAUUUGUAAUCAUUAGAGCUGUCUGAAAGAAUCGAGGAAGUUUCCUGUCCUCGUAAGUGUUGGAUUGGAACUGGCAAACCACCUGCACAGAUAUUACAGAGAAGCCAGGUGACCUCAGAGCUCAUUCCAUGCAGGAGAACUCUGCAGAGCAAGGGGAGUGCCGUUAGAAUUCUCACAUUAAAAAUCGCUUCCAGGGCUGGAGAUACAACUCAGUGGUGGAGUGUUUGCCUGGCAUAUGCAAAGCCCUGAGUUCAAUCCCGAGCACCAAGGAGACAUUUCAAAGGGAGCAGGCAUAAAUUCAGGCAAGAGGAUUGUCAUGAGUUUGAGGCCAGUAUGAGCUACACAGUGAGACUUCAUCUUAAAAAUCAAAACAAAAUAACCACCGUAUAAGAAUUGUUUCUCUAUAGAAAGAAGCCAAUAUGUUAUAUCCCUCAAAACCCCAGCUUUGGAAUUAGGACACAGGCCAUGCUUAUCAGUCAACGGAGUGGCUUUCCAACUCCUCUGUUCUUCUCAUCCCCAUGCCCUUGAUGUCACGAGAGGGUGAGUUGGAAUGUUUCUAAGCUGCCUUUGUUGAGAGUUUAUAGCUGGUCAGGAGAUAAUGUUCCAUCAUGGGUAUACGGAUGAACACAGGGCAGACCCACAGUGAAGGAAUAAAACCCACAGACUUCCAGGGCCCUGCACUGUUCACUGUGUUCCUGGAUAAAAGAAGCUCAUGCUGGGGGCUUAAUCAGUGUUGAAAACGUCUUCUUCAGUACUGUUCAAUGAGCUCACAGAGGCCUGAACUCUUAGACCAGAUACCACUUACAUAUUGUCAACUUGCGUUUAUGGCCAGAAUACAGAAAGGAGGCUUGUUGUACAUUCUCAGGAGCCUGACUCCUGAAGAGGCUAAGAAGAUGCUGCUGCUUCUAGCCACAUUGUUUCCAUAGCAACUACAACCUGGUGGCAGGGACAGGAAUCUAUUUUCUCAUAGAUCCAGAAGGUAGAGAUUGAAUUAUUAGCAGGAUAGUUCCUUCCUAGGGCCAAGAGGGGAGAAUCUACCACGGCUGUUGGCUUUACCUUGUAGACGGCCCCGAGCUUUAAGAGUUCUCUUUGACUUUCGUCCCUCUUUGCAUAUCCGACCCAUUGUGAGUUUACCUGUCAGAUGAGAGAGUUAGGGCUACCCCAAUGACCUCACUGAACCCAGUUGUCUCUGUAAGCACUGUUUUCAAAUAAGGUAAUAUGCUGAAGUACUAGGGGUGAGACUAUCAGCACAUGAUAUAAUCCAAUCACACAUCUAUCCAUUCCACCCUGCCCGGUCCAUUGGGCAUGUCCCCCUUGGCAAGAUGGGUAAUUGGCAGUGUGUCAUGACAACAGCUGUCCUCUCCUUUAGAUGCUUCCCCCCAUUUGGCUU